AGUGAUCAUCACAGCUACCAGUUGUGAAACAUGGUCCCCUGUAUGUAUCAGCCAAAUUCUCACACCUCGCUGCUUCACUCACCGCUAUUUCUUCUGCAUAUAUAUAAUAUUAUUUAAAUAUAUAUUUCAUAAUAUAUACAAAUGCAGUAUAUAUGUAGUUAAUUAAUCUUACGUGCAACAAAGAGAACGAGGAAGAGGAAGCACAAGCCAGCUAGUGAUUUCUUGUCCAUGGCUUAGUGAUAUUGAAUAAUGUAACUUUUCACUUAUGUGUUAUGUGUGUGUUUGGUGUGGUUGAUAUAUUUGUUGAUCGUAACACACAUAUAUAUAGCCCCAAGGGGCUUGACUAGUAAGAGAAAUGAACAAAUAUUAUUAUUAAUCUGAAAAUGAAGUUUGAGAAGCUAGAAGAAACCACAAGAAACGGAUUGAUGUGGCAGCAUAUUUUAUUACCCAAGUUUGUAUUUUCAUGAUGAAAAGUCAAUAGUGUGGGGCGUGGAAGCUAGAGUGGAGCUUAUCAACAUAUAAUUAAUGCUAUAUAUGGAGACAGACAAAUAUAGUAUGCAACAAUUCAAUUUGAAUUCUCCAUUCGAUUUGUUUGUGAUAAUUAAUCAUGUAAUUUUCCCAAAAGUAAUCAAUAAAAUAAAUUCAAUAAUAUGCAUCUCAUAUAUAAAAGAGUAAUUAAACAAAAGUAGGGAAGGGAUAGGGGAGAGGUUUGGAGGAGGGGAGCACAUGAAAAAAUAGAGGAAUUUUUUUAAUCUUUUUUAAAGAGUCUUUUUUGUAGAAAAUAAUAAAUAAAUGUUUAUAAUUAACAUAUAUUUUUUAGUAUUUAGAGUAUAAUAAAACAGAUAUUUGGAUUUGAAAUUUUUAUUUAUUCUAAAGUAAUUUUGGAAUUCCUCAAAAUAAAGAGAUUUUGUAUUAUAAAAAAAAAUAAACUUCAAAGUAUUCUCCUUUCAAAACUCUUUAUUCAUUUCACUUCACUCUUCCUUUUUUUAAAUUUUAAAAGUCUUUUCAUUGCCUUUUAAGCUCUCAAACACAUCUUGAUAGCUCAUAGCUACUCCUAAUUAUCCUCUCUAUGUAUUGGUGAUUUGGUUUCGGAUAAUUAAUAUUACUAAUUUUGUUAAUGGGUUUAUUAACUAUACAUCUAUCAAGAGGUUAAUAACUAAAAGUUAACAAACGGCUCUAAUUUUUCUAGAGAGAUAAAUUUUACUAUGUCUUUAAGUUUUUUCUUCUUCUUCAGUCACUUAGAUAAUGGUGGUUGUAAGUAUUUUUAGAUCUGAAAUUAUUCAUAUGCUUCUUUUUUCUCUGUUACAAUCUAAAUAAGUGAUUCCAUACAUACCAUAUUUUUCUUUGUGUUUUUUUUUUCUUUGUGAUUUCGUCAUCUCAAAUCAGCGUUAUUUGUUUUUUCGUCUUGAUGCAUUGUUCCUUUGAUUUCUCGUCUUGUUCUAGUGUUCUUUUCAUUCAGAUUGAUAUAUCAACUUCGAUCAGUUAUUGAUUCAAUCAAUUACUAGGUUGUCAACAUUGUAGAUCUGAAGACAUGAACAUUUCGGUCACUUUGAUUUUGUCACAUUAUUAUUUGUAGACAUAAGUCGUUUUAUGUUAUUAACUUGGAUGUUGAGAGUAUGCUUGCACAUUCAAUUUUUUAGCAAUGUUGAAUAUGUUUUUGUAUUAGAUGUCCUCUACCAACUUGAAUGAAUGAAUAUAUAUUUUUUUUUUUGUGUAAAAACUAUACGUUAAUGCAAAAACAAUUUACAUAUACAUGUAGUUAUAAAAAAGAAUAUUGGAGUAGAUUCUUUAGUUUUGGUCUAUUUGCAAAGUUGGAUUGGAACCUAUCUAAUAAUGAUGUGGGCCUUGAGGUGUUGUUGUGGCUGCCUCAUGGAAAGAGCGUAACAAAUUUUUAUUAGUUCAAACUUCUAAGAUGGGGGAUAAAAUUUAGAAUUCAAUUAACCAUCAGGUUCAUAAUAUAGUUUCAGAUUGGUUUCUAGAGGAAUAAACAACUCAAGACGACAUCAAAUUUAGACUAUACAUGAAGAUUUUUUCAGACGUUUUAAAAAAAGCUCACUUCUAUGAGGGAAGUUUAGGCAAUUAUCUAUAACCUUAAAGUUGAUAUAUUCAACUAAACUACCACUAAGUUUUUAUCGAAUUUGACUCUAAAGUGACUAUUAACAUAAUUCAUUGUGACUAUAUCUCUAUUCAUCAUCUAUAGCCUCUUGCAUAAAUUACUACUAUUAUUCAUGCAUCUAUCAUUGACAAGUUGAAGUAGUGUUCUACUGAAGUUAAUAAAUAUGUAGAAUUCCUUACACAUAGAGUUUAUUAGGCUG
Molecule: long non-coding RNA, 2315 nt
Filed under: Cicer arietinum (chickpea)
Lineage: Eukaryota; Viridiplantae; Streptophyta; Magnoliopsida; Fabales; Fabaceae
Description: long non-coding RNA (CARI_LNC000138)
Source: RNAcentral